AGGAGAUGGAAUAUUAAGUGUGGGGAAGACCUAGUAAUUUCCUUUGGCUGGAACACACAUGGGGGUAACAUAACCAUUCAUUCUUUUCUCCUUCCCUUUUGCCUCAAAGGAAGCAGUCAGAUGCUUUUUUCACCCUGGAAGUUCCCUCAUCUCCUCUGGUUUUCUCAGCCUGGAGCAUCCUUCCACUCUUACAGUGUCCCUCUCCUAUUGGCCCAGUACGAAGCAGUACUCAUCCACUUGAGGCAACCAAAUCAUGUUCUGCCUUCCCCAACCCUCUGCCCAAAGCUGAGACUCAUCCUUAAUAAGGGCCACAGGGGAUGGUGGAGAUGGAAACCUCAAAGCCCUGACUUGGGGUGCUCAUGUCCUGGCUAAAAGGAGAAGAAAGGAGAAGACAAAUCAAAGUCAUGAUUUUUUGAAGUCUUUCGUUAAAGCUAGUCAAUUUUCCUCUUGGUACAGGGGAAACCUGGAAGGGCACCCACAGAAUAAGUAUCAUCAAGUUGGGCAAGUCUUAGAAGGCUCUCAGUCACCUCCUGACCACUUGUUCCAGGAAGACAACAUCCCUCCCCAAAGUUCAAAGUUUUUGAACUAGUUUGGGCCAGAAGUUGAGCUCUGUAGGUAACCUCAACUGCAAAAAAAUAAGGUGGAAGUGCAAGGGAGUAGGAAGAUGAGAAAGGCCAAAAGAAAAGGAAGGAAACUUUGCAAGGGAUGCUGCGGCUUUCCCACUGGACAAAGAAGCAUAUCUAAUCUCUGGAUAAUGCCCUUCACAGAAAACCGUUUGGUGCUUAGGAAAUAGAAAACAAAAACAUCUUCACAGAGAAAAGGCAACUCAAUUCAAGCAAGUUUCAGAACAGGGCUGAGAGAAGAGAUUGAGGAGGUUAAAAAGGAACUAGUGUGUGUCUCUCCCUCCCUAAUCAGCCUCUUCCCCCACCACCUUUCCCUUUCCUGAGCAGAAUGUUCUCUGGCCUGGCAACAAUGGAGAAUUAAGGAGGGGAGUUUUAAACUGAACAGACCCUACUUUUAGAACAGUGUAGUAGUCUUUUUAGUACAUAGUAGGAUCUCUCUCUCUCUCUCUCUCUCUGUGUGCCCCUCCCUCCCUCUCACUCCCAAUCUAAAUGCCUACAUUCCUUGUACUCUC
Monodelphis domestica (gray short-tailed opossum) is the source of this 1135-nucleotide long non-coding RNA. The record is from Ensembl. NCBI's taxonomy places the organism in Eukaryota, Metazoa, Chordata, Mammalia, Didelphimorphia, Didelphidae.